This 119-nucleotide ribosomal RNA is filed under the name Lepisosteus oculatus (spotted gar). The record is from RNAcentral. Lineage: Eukaryota; Metazoa; Chordata; Actinopteri; Semionotiformes; Lepisosteidae.
CCCAGUAGCCAUUUCACCCUGCAACAUACAACUGGCAACCCACCAAAACUAAGCAGGUGUGAGCCUGGUCAGUACCUGGAUGAGAGACCACCUGGGAAAAACUAAGGUUGGUGCUGGAA